UUUCUGUAAGCUCAGAGAGUCAGAUAGGGCUGGAAAGAGCCAGAGCUAGAGAGAGGGCUCAGAGAAGCCAGGAGAUAGCGACGGGCAAGGCGAGAGAGAGGCUCUCUAGGGAGACAGUGUCUGUUCUGGGACUGGUGGGGUUCCGGGGAGGUACAGGGUAGAAAAGAAGCGCUGUCUAUAGGUGAUAGACAAUCCAGUUGUGGAUACCUCAGUCAAACUUUUUGUUUAACUAUCUGUCCAUAGGUGUAGAAUGUCUAUCAGUGGGUGAAGCGGUCAUAAAACCUUACAUCAAAUUAUUAUAUACUCUGUAGCCAAGUCUUGAUCUUGUUACAUACACCAUUACGUGUGAAAAGCCCUAUUUUGGCAGAGAAAAACCUUUAAGCUGCUUGUACAUAAACUUCACUCUGUGUCCAGUGAGUUAUACUUUCUCCCAAUGCAGCCCUCAGCUAUACUACUAAGGAACUGUCAGGACAUAAACCUAAGCAAGAGGAGCUUGAUGGUGGUUGCAGAAUCUUGAUAAAGGGGAGAAGAGAUAAGAACAUCAUUUUCAGUAAAAUGGGUCCACAAAGUCAUCAAGUUAUUAACCUCUCUAGUUUUGGGCAUAGACCACCCCACCUGCCACUAGCAGUAUCCCAGAGUAACAGUCAGGGUACGGUUCAUCACACGAUUAUCUACCAAAACUGACACGCAAGAUAUAUGCAUCUCUCAUGCUUGUUCAUUAGAAAUUAGAAUGACUCACAAAUUAAUUUUACUGAUCAAAUACUGCAAAAUCUUGAGAUUCUGAAUCAUGACUGAUGAAUCUUAUAAAAAUUGUUUCAGAAUAGCAAGAGCUACAUGUCUUAUCAACUUUGAAACAACCUUGCACCUCUGCUGGAGCUAACAGGAUCAAACAAUAUUAAAAUAAUGAGGGAAUAAUGAAGUGAGCCACCCUUUAUAAAAGCAGUGGGCAGGAUCCAGACUAAGUUAGUCAUGACUAAGAACUGUUACGAGGGGGUGCUGUUGCGCCCCCUUGGGGAUAUUUUAGGCUACAGCUAUAAGGCAGGCAGAUUCCCAGAAAGUCACAACCGCAGGCUUAAAAUCUGAAUAGAAAUGUAUUUUAUUGAACACAAAGUGCAAAUUGAAUAAAACAGAACAUGCAGGGCAUUACACAGAACAUGUAAGAUGGUUCACGUAUCUGGGCGCUAAUACAGGAGGACCUCAUUAUUCGUGGGUCCAGCACCUGCAGUUCUGCAUAUCCGUGGUUAGCACCCAACCUUGGUAUAUGCAGGAAAAACCCAGGGAGGCGGAUGGUUAAACCUGCAUAUGUGCAGGUUGGGGGUGACUGGAAACUACCUCGGAGAUCAUUUCCAGCCACUAUUUUAUUUUUGGGAGCCAUAUUAUGGCUCAUUUUAACAAAAACGGGGGAAACACAGCUAUUUUUGGUUGAUUUUUGCCAUGGUGGAGAAUAUGGUAGGGCACUUUGGAAGAUUAUUCUUUGGGGGGGCACUUAUUUUCAGAAAUUUUGGGGCAGUCUGGGAACCAACCAACCCCCCCUUCCAUAGCCCUCAUUAUCCAUUAUUUGUGGAUUCACUAUCCCCCACCCCCGCCCCGACAGAACACAACGCCUGUGAAUAACAGGAUUCUCUUGUACUUGACUUCUGACAUCCUGGCUAUUAAAAUGUAUGUGCUAUACUGAAGACUGGGGAAAGGGAAGAGGGUGGAGGAUGUGAAGGGCAAGGUGGAUAGAGAGAGACCUGAACAAGAUCAGGCAAGAGAGAAGGCAGGGUCAAUGAAAAGCUCCUGAGAGACAGCAGAGGGAAGAGAAAGACAGACCCAAUGAAUUCAGGUAAAGAAAGUGAACUGGGGUCAGUCCAAAGUACUGAAGGGAAAGUGGAGCGAAGGAAGGAAGGAAGGAAGGAAGGAAGGAAGGAAGGAAGGAAGGAAGGAAGGAAGGAAGGAAGGAAGGAAGGGGAAAGCCUGAAUGAGUCUAGGAAGAGAAAGCAAAUUCGGGUCAGUCCAGAGGACUGGAGAAGGAACAGAGGACAGACCAUGACAGAUCUGAAUGAGUUUGGGGGAGAAGAGAAAACUGAGUCAGCCCAGAGAACUGGAGAAGGAAGUGGGGCAAAGAUCGAAAGACACUCGAACAAGUCUGGGAAGAGAAAGUAGGUUGAGGCCAUCCAGAGAUCUGGGGAAGGCAGCAAAAUGAAGAAACAAGUUCAGAUACAAGGAUGGCCCUGCACCUUUAAAAAUGAGACAGUGAAGACAUCCUGAAGUACACACACAUGUUCCAGCAUAUGCUUAGACUCAGAGCUGGAAGACUCCACAAGACCAUCAAGUCUCAACCAUUCUGUUGCUCUAAGGCAAAACGCCUACACUUCAGCCCCUCCACCCCAUUCCCAAAAUGAACAAAAUGCAAGUUUUCCACCACAGGGUGCCUGCAGAGCUCAAGAUGGCUACACACAACUUCAGCCCUCCAGCUGUUGGAUUACAACUCUCUUAGCCCGAGCCACAGUGAUCUCCAAAAUAUUUGGAGAUCGAGACACAUUUCUGACUCAAGUAGCAUUUGAAACCUUACAUAAGCACUGCAAGUCUCAGCCAUCUGUCUCUUCCAGUAUUCUGAUAACUGUGUCAUCAUUCAUUGGGUUACUUUGCUUUGUUCUGCUGUUUCAGCAUUAUGAUUUUUGUGUUAUUAACCAUUGGGAUAUUGUACACUGUAUAAUUACUCCUCACAUGUAUAUAUUCUCUUACCAUUGAUAUUAUAAUAUACUUUAUUAGGUA
This is a long non-coding RNA of Hemicordylus capensis (graceful crag lizard), 2757 nucleotides long. RefSeq lists it as uncharacterized. The transcript has 2 exons. The record is from RefSeq and is a predicted model, not a curated record. NCBI's taxonomy places the organism in Eukaryota, Metazoa, Chordata, Lepidosauria, Squamata, Cordylidae.